RNAcentral lists this ribosomal RNA (253 nucleotides) under uncultured bacterium. Its description in RNAcentral is "partial 16S ribosomal RNA". It matches the Rfam family "Bacterial small subunit ribosomal RNA", at positions 524 to 776 of the family's 1533-position model. The record is from RNAcentral.
UACGUAGGGUGCGAGCGUUAAUCGGAAUUACUGGGCGUAAAGCGUGCGCAGGCGGUUUUGUAAGCCAGAUGUGAAAUCCCUAGGCUCAACCUAGGAACUGCACUCGAAACUACCAUUCUUGAGUGUCGGAGAGGAAAGCGGAAUUCCUGGUGUAGAGGUGAAAUUCGUAGAUAUCAGGAGGAACACCAGUGGCGAAGGCGGCUUUCUGGACGAUAACUGACGCUGAGACGCGAAAGCGUGGGGAGCAAACAGG